GAUGAACGCUGGCGGCGUGCCUAAUACAUGCAAGUCGAGCGAACGGACGAGAAGCUUGCUUAUCUGAUGUUAGCGGCGGACGGGUGAGUAACACGUGGAUAACCUACCUAUAAGACUGGGAUAACUUCGGGAAACCGUAGCUAAUACCGGAUAAUAUUUUGAACCGCAUGGUUCAAAAGUGAAAGACGGUCUUGCUGUCACUUAUAGAUGGAUCCGCGCUGCAUUAGCUAGUUGGUAAGGUAACGGCUUACCAAGGCAACGAUGCAUAGCCGACCUGAGAGGGUGAUCGGCCACACUGGAACUGAGACACGGUCCAGACUCCUACGGGAGGCAGCAGUAGGGAAUCUUCCGCAAUGGGCGAAAGCCUGACGGAGCAACGCCGCGUGAGUGAUGAAUGUCUUCGGAUCGUAAAACUCUGUUAUUAGGGAAGAACAUAUGUGUAAGUAACUGUGCACAUCUUGACGGUACCUAAUCAGAAAGCCACGGCUAACUACGUG
This 497-nucleotide ribosomal RNA is filed under the name uncultured bacterium. RNAcentral describes it as "partial 16S ribosomal RNA". It matches the Rfam family "Bacterial small subunit ribosomal RNA", at positions 28 to 507 of the family's 1533-position model. The record is from RNAcentral.